Molecule: long non-coding RNA, 686 nt
Filed under: Anolis carolinensis (green anole)
Lineage: Eukaryota; Metazoa; Chordata; Lepidosauria; Squamata; Anolidae
Description: lncRNA (ENSACAG00000033909.2)
Source: RNAcentral
UGAAGUCCAAAACACUUGGAGGGAAGGCCCAAGUUUGCCCACGCCUGGUGUAAAUGGUUCUAUUGAGAGCUGGGCCUCUAGUGAGGCGGUUGGGCCUGUUUAUGACGGCUCCCCCGGUUGCCUAGCAACCAAGGGGUCUGGAUGCUCACCGUUGGCCUGCCUGGACGGCGCCUCCUUCGGACGGAGCCGAGAUGGUGCCGGCGCUGCGCUCUCGGGGGCCGGCUGCCUCCGCCCGAAAGGGGGGCGAUGGGCUAUGGCCCCAGCGCCCCCAGGCCCCCCUGACGCGCUUCCCCGAGUGAGGGAGCGAGGGAGCGAGCCACUCAGCCGCCAUGAGCCGGAACCAGCCUCGCGCCCGCCUCGAGCCCCGCGAUUUAGAGGCACACGAUAGUAAAUUCCCAGAGAUUGCAAACCUUCAAGAAUCCGAACAUAUCACUUCUCAGCCACUGAAAGAACAAAAAUUGCCAAUGCUAACAUCUGACCACAGAUUUCUGGAUACCAAAGUCUCAGGAAAAUCAUCCAGCAGUUGUCCCUUUGAGAAUGGUUCAGAAAAUGCAUUGAUAAAGUCGAAAAGGAUAAAACAAGCUCUUCCAGUAAUGAUGAGCCCAGUUUGCCACCUUUGUAUUUGCUUCCACCUUCUUCAUCGAAGUAUUUUCUUGAAAGCUACUACAAAAGCAAGUAAGCUUUAA